This 1827-nucleotide long non-coding RNA is filed under the name Centruroides sculpturatus (bark scorpion). RNAcentral's name for it is "uncharacterized LOC111631801, transcript variant X3". Lineage: Eukaryota; Metazoa; Arthropoda; Arachnida; Scorpiones; Buthidae. The record is from RNAcentral.
AUCGUCGUCACAAAAGCUUGCAGAGCCCUCUAACGAGACGUUUCCUAUCGAAGUCGGAGUACGCAGGGUUUGCAUUUUAUAAUCAAAGUUAUUAGAAAGGUGGACACAAAUAAUUGAAGAAAAUAUCAAAAAUCGACUGUCAGAUCAAUUAAGUUGUCAGUUAUUUCAAAGAAAAGGCCUUAUAAUAAUUAUUAUUCAAAAAUCUUUCUAAGAAGCAAUGUUUUUCCACUGUUGUUUGAUUUUUCUGGAUAUAAUAAAAUAAUUGUUUAGGAAAAGAACGUGCAGAGUGAAGAAAAGUUAAGAUGGCCACUGUAAAACAUGAUGAUAUAAAGUCACUGGAAAAUGUGGUUAAAAAAAGGAAAACCACUCAUUUCUGUGGUAAUUCUGACCUUAAAAAUGAAGAUAAAGCUCAUUUAUCAAAAGAAGAAAAGUCUACAAUGGUGAGUACAAAAUCAUCAGCUUCACAAAAGAAAAAUAAGUCAGUUACUUCGGGAUCGAACCCAGUUUCUCAGAAAGAUGGAGCUGGAUCAGGUUUGUAAUUAACCUUGAACAUUUGAAAUUUUCUUUUAUAUCUUAUAUUUAAAAAAUAUUUAAUUUUUAUUUAAAUAAUUUAGAAUAUGCAGAUGCAUUAUACGCAUCUGCACAUUAAGCAGGAGUUGUGAGUUUGAGUAUAGCUCUGGGCCAAUUCUUUUCUUCCAAAAUAUUUUAAUUAAAUUAUUUAAUUUAAUUGUAAUUAUUAAAUUUAAUAAGAGCAUCCAACACCUCCCUCUAGUUACAAAUUAUUUAUAAAUUAAUUAAAAAUAAUUGCAGAAAAGUAGCCCGAUUUUAAUUUGGUAGUUGUUUGGCUUGUGAAUAAACACACACUUCCUUACUACAUAGGAAUAUUUGAAUAUUAUGUGUAAAAUUAGAUAAAAUAUAAUUAAUUGACUUAUUGUUUCAAUUUAGACCAACUAAUUUAUAAGUUAUGAUCAUACAUGUUAUGGUUAUAUUUUCUAAAUUAAUUGGCCUAGCAAUGGACAUUGGAUGGAGAUCUGGGUAAUGUAAUUAGUAACACAUCUGUAAGUAAAAGGAAUUGUGGGUUUGAGUCCUGUUCUGGACUAGUUUUUUUCUAGAAUAUUUUAUAAAUUAAUUAAUGUAUUUUUAAUUAUUAAAUUCAAUACGAGAUGGCUGCUUAACCCAUCUACCUUUAGUCCAAAUUACAUGAUGUCUCUAUAAUUUUAAUUAAAAUGGCUGAUGGUAUUUUUUAAAAAAUUAAAAAUUUGAAGAAACUAAGUCGUCUUCAUUUCCACCAUGUCCAAUCAUCAGAAAACAGUAAGUCUUUCUUUAUAAUUAAUUUACUGUAUUAUAUUGGAUUGUUCGGAAAGUAAUUUCGUUUUUUUUUUCUGUGUCAAACACACUAUUUUUAUAAUAAAUAAAUAUUUUAUUGAAUUAUAUAUUGACCAUUUUGAUCAACUACCUGUUGCCUUGUUUCUGUUAGUAGCAUGUUUCUACGUUUAUAAAAGUUUUGAUGUUUGCUUACAAAAAAGAACGGAUUCAAGUAAUUUUUGACAUUUUCAUUUCAAGUAAACGUCUUACAGUUUAAAAAAUUUUGUAAAGACCAGAACAAGUAAUAAUCUGAGGGUGCCUGAUCUGGCGAAUAUUGUUGGUUUGAUAGCACAUCCCAUCUAAGCUGUAACAGUUUCUGACGAGUUACCAUACUUGUCUGAAAUUUGGCAUUAAUUACAUUACACCUGUUUUGUUGAUAAAUUCUGGCCUUUUCUGUUUGAUGAUAUUACUCAAUUUGUUUACUCGAUGGCAGUACACUUUUGAUUGUAUCAAUUGUUAAAU